This 460-nucleotide ribosomal RNA is filed under the name uncultured bacterium. Its description in RNAcentral is "partial 16S ribosomal RNA". It matches the Rfam family "Bacterial small subunit ribosomal RNA", at positions 338 to 795 of the family's 1533-position model. The record is from RNAcentral.
CCUACGGGAGGCAGCAGUGAGGAAUAUUGGUCCAUGGACGAAAGUCUGAACCAGCCAAGUAGCGUGAAGGAUGACUGCCCUAUGGGUUGUAAACUUCUUUUAUAAAGGAAUAAAACGAGGCACGUGUGCCUUUUUGCCUGUCCUUUAUGAAUAAGGAUAGGCUAAAUCCUUGCCAGCAGCCGCGGUAAUACGGAGUAUCCGAGCGGUAUCCGGAUUUCUUGGGGUUAAGAGGAGCGUAGAUGGGUUGUUAAGUCAGUUGUGAAAUGUUGCGGCUCAACCGUAAAAUUGCAAUUGAUACGGGCAGUCUUGAGUACAGUUGAGGUAGGCGGAAUUCGUGGUGUAGCGGUGAAAUGCUUAGAUAUCACGAAGAACCCCGAUUGCGAAGGCAGCUUACUAAGCUGUGACUGACAUUGAUGCUCGAAAGUGUGGGUAUCAAACAGGAUUAGAUACCCUUGUAGUC